GCGGGAAUCCUCCUGUGAUGUCACUUCCUUCUUUUGCAUUAUAGAGAGCCUUGUUAGAAAGGAAGUGGAUUUUUUUUGUGUGUUUAACAAUAAAGCUGCACACACCUGCUCUCGUUCUCCUUCUCUUUUGAAUCUGUGCGCGUGCCUAUAUUUGUAAUUUUUUUUCGUGUAUGUUUUAUUUGGGUGUGUGUAUUUUUGUGGGUGUGUGUCCCGUGUUUGUAUUUGCGCGUGGGUUUCAAUGAGUUUAUGGACAGAAAAAGGCGAGAGAUGGAUGGAGGGACAACAAGGAAGGAAUUUACAAAACACACGCACGAACACACAGGUGGGGUCAAAGUGCAACGCUUUAUCGGGCGCGUGAGUGUGUGUCUUCAAGUCACUAGUUACAGUGUGCUGCGGUAGUAAAGGUCAAGACGGUCCGGGGAGAUCGCCGCGGCGGCGACGACGACGGACAAGCUGGAUGACACGGUGAUGUCCUUGCGUGCACACACACACACACACACACACGCGUGUAUUGAUUAAGUGUUUUUGCGUAGAUGUGUUCGUGUUGUGCCUCGUCCUUCAUCCGCCUGAAGAACGCAUGUCCUCGACCGUGUGGGUUCAUUAACCUGCUAAUCACCCAAGCAUGUGUGUUGGCUCUGCUCUUCGGCACGGUGUGGUCAGUAACAGGAAGCGAGUGUUUGCCAGGAGGGAAAGUCUUCGGCGUGGUCAUCAUCUUCAUCGGCGCUGUGCUGGGGGGGCGACUAGUCGGGAUGGUCCAGUUUCCCGGCCUGCCCCCAAUCCCGCCGCUGCUUGGUAUGCUCCUGGCCGGCCUGAUUCUGAGGAAUGUUCCGUACGUCACGGACGCCGUCUAUGUGGACGCCGCCUGGUCCGCGGCUUUGAGGAGCAUGGCGCUGUCCGUCAUCCUGGCCCGAGCCGGUCUGGGCCUGGACCCUUCGGCGCUACGUCGCCUGAAGGCCGUAUGCCUGCGCGUGGCGGUCGGCCCGUGCGUGACGGAGGCGUGCGUCGUUGCUGUGCUUUCUCACUUCCUGUUGGCUCUGCCGUGGGCAUGGGGUUUCCUGUUGGGGUUUGUCCUGGCGGCGGUGUCUCCGGCCGUCGUGGUUCCGUCCAUGUUGCUCCUGCAGAAGGAAGGUUACGGCAGCGAGAAGGGUAUCCCGACACUCCUGAUGGCCGCCGGCAGCUUUGACGACAUUUUGGCCAUCACGGGCUUCUCCACCUGUCUGGGCGUGGCCUUCUCCACAGGUUCAGCUUCUGUUCGCUUCGGGCCCGAUUGGGUUCUCCUCGCCAUUCACCUUGUUUUUGCGUGGUCAGGUUCCACGUGGAUGAGCGUCCUGAAGGGUCUCUUGGAGGUGGUGGGCGGGGUGGUGGGCGGCGUCCUAGUGGGCGUCUUCUUGUGUUUGUUCCCCAGUGCGGACCAGGAAGACUUGGUGGUGACCAGGAGCUUCUUCCUGAUUGCGUUCUCGGUCUUCGCCGUCUUCUUCACCCAAGUGAUGGGCGCCUCCGGGGCCGGCGGGCUGUGCACCUUGGUUCUGGCCUUCCUGGCCGCCCUGGGCUGGGGCACUAACAAGGUGGGGGUGGCGGCCGUCUUGGGGAGGUGUUGGGAUGUGUUCCAACCCCUCCUCUUCGGCCUGAUUGGAGCAGAGAUCAUCGUAACGAAGCUGAGCCUGAGCACCGUGGGUCUGGGCGCGGCCGUGAUCGCCGUCGGUCUGGUGGUGCGGCUGGUCGCCACCUUUGCGCUGGUGCACGGCGCGGGCUUCGCGCUCAAAGAGAAACUCUUCAUCGCCGUCGCCUGGCUGCCCAAAGCGACGGUGCAGGCGGCCAUCGGCUCCAAAGCCUUGGACACGGCGAGGGACCUGGGUGAUGACACCUUGGCAAAGUUCGGCUUGGAUGUGCUAACGUUAGCCGUGUUAGCCAUCUUGAUCACCGCCCCCAUCGGAGCGCUUGGCAUCGGCCUGGCGGGGCCGCGCCUCCUGAGCCGCCAAGUCAAAGCGUCUGAAGCAGUGGGUGACAUGCCAACCCCGGCUGGCCAAGGUCAAGACCGUGUGAUUUUUGAGAGCAGUCUGUGAAGACCUUCCUUGAACCCAAACAAUUCCAAAUGACCUUUUUAGUGUAUCUACGUAUUUGUGUCUGGAUAUCUUAUCCACCCCUCAAGAAUAAAAUUAAACAACAAAGUCAGUGUUUAGAUACCGUAAUUCUGCCAAAUCAUUAGCAAGCAGGCGAAUGAACAUAAUCAUCAGCAAGUGUAAUUUUGUUGCUGGCUGAUGAAAUGCUGCAUCCACCAGUGAUAAUGCAAUGGAAUCUCUGUGGCCUCUUGCCCUGGAAACAAGUUAAUUUGACUAUCUGCUGUAAAAACAAACAAACAAAAAACGUCUGUUUUAUCCUUGAAUAUUUUGGAACACUUUUAAAUCCUUAAAUGUAUCUCUCAAUGUAUACAUACGUGUAUGUAAUGUUAUAACCUGAUGUAAAAAAAAAAAAAAAUCGACGUAACAACUAAAAAAAAACACAUUUUACCAAUAAAACAUUUUUCUUCCCCUAAAGUUUACAACGUUUUAAUUCCUGCAGCAUUUUGGCGCACAGGUGGUAAUUCCGUUUUAUUAAUCGAUUUAAAUGACGCAAUUGUCCAAACCGGAAGUUAGCUAAGAAAACGCCAUGUUAGCCCCAUCUUCUGGACACAAGAUGCCGUUUGCAUCGUCACCUCUGUCGUGAGGUCAAGACCCGCGGGAACGUCGCUGAGACCGGCCGCCGUGCAGUUGAGUCGCACUCGGUGGUUCGUGUCCCGAUCCCGAGGGCAAUCGUGCACGGCGGGAUCCGUGGU
Molecule: RNA transcript, 2812 nt
Organism: Syngnathoides biaculeatus (alligator pipefish)
Lineage: Eukaryota; Metazoa; Chordata; Actinopteri; Syngnathiformes; Syngnathidae
Gene name: sodium/hydrogen exchanger 9B2
Exons: 12
Source: RefSeq, a predicted model, not a curated record